RNAcentral lists this ribosomal RNA (423 nucleotides) under Gomphus clavatus. Its description in RNAcentral is "mitochondrial SSU rRNA". It matches the Rfam family "Bacterial small subunit ribosomal RNA", at positions 409 to 882 of the family's 1533-position model. Lineage: Eukaryota; Fungi; Basidiomycota; Agaricomycetes; Gomphales; Gomphaceae. The record is from RNAcentral.
AGCUAACUGGAUUCACAAAUGUGUCAUUUGUGAUAACGUAAAGGAAAAAUAUGAUGUUACUUUACUAUUAGUGUUGUCUAAACCUGGCGUCAGUAGACUCGGUAAGGCCAGAGACGCGAGCGUUAAUCAUCUUGAUCAGGCGUAAAGGGUUUGUAGGCAGCUUUAAAAUUAAUUAAAGCUUGAAUUUUAUAGAGGUCACCGUGAGAGAACUCUUGGAGUAGGGUUGAUAUCCGUAAAUACUGAGAGGAAUUCUAAUUAGCGAAGGCUCUUUUCCAAAUAAAAAUUGACGCUGAGAAACGAAGGUGAGGAACGACAAUAGGAUUAGAUACCCUGGCAUCCCUCUCUGUAAACGAUGAAUGGUAGUUGCUAGUUUAAAUUAGCUAGUGGCGAGGUAAACACGUUAACCAUUCCGCCUUGUGAGUA